CUUGUAAGAGAAGAGCUGUUUCCCUCACCUCCUAUCAAAGUACCUAUCAUUCCUCCACUGGAACUUCAUUAAUGAUCUAGAUCUUGGAAGAUUUUCUGGGAUGAAAGAGAACCCAAAAGUGGAGCAUCUUUGGAGAGGUGAGCCGGCAGGAGGGAAAGGGGUUGGCCCGAAGGCGUGCUUCACCUGCUCCCCAGCGCUCCCGGGACUCAGUCCUGGUCACUUACAGGAGAGGAAAAUGCGGUGAAAGGCGGCCACAAGUGAGUUCACGGCCUUGGUACACAGUGAGUUCUCUCUCCCCUCCCAGCUGCACUAACCGUAUUUCCUGUCUGCUAUGUGAAGUGUGAGUCUGGCCCUUUAUGAAGACACAGUGCCCACUUUCAGCCGAGCAAAGCGGCCUUUCCUCCGGACCCAGAUGGCUGCGCCUCUUCUCGGUGCCCUGCUUCUCCAGCUGCAAAAGUGGGGCCCGGCUCCCACCUCCCCAGAUCCAGAGAGGCAAAUUCAUCCAGAGCGGGAAGUCAGGAAGUGGGUGACUUACUCCAUGCUCACCAGACAAGAACUUUCAACCAAUAAAGAAGUAAAGCACACAGAAAAAGGAUCAGAUUCAGAAUUGGCCCUCGCACUACCUAUUAGGGGAGAGAAAAUACCCACCUCAGGACACUCUUGCCACAAGGGGCCUCCGCCUGCACUUUUCUCUUCAAGCAAAGAACAGCUGUUCUAAUCACAGAUGAGAAAAUUUAUCGGUA
Long non-coding RNA from Mirounga angustirostris (Northern elephant seal), 743 nucleotides. RefSeq lists it as uncharacterized. The transcript is spliced from 3 exons. The record is from RefSeq and is a predicted model, not a curated record. Lineage: Eukaryota; Metazoa; Chordata; Mammalia; Carnivora; Phocidae.